RNAcentral lists this unclassified non-coding RNA (400 nucleotides) under soil metagenome. RNAcentral describes it as "partial contains 5.8S ribosomal RNA, internal transcribed spacer 2, and large subunit ribosomal RNA". The stretch from base 1 to 122 matches the Rfam family "5.8S ribosomal RNA", at positions 35 to 154 of the family's 154-position model. The record is from RNAcentral.
GAUGAAGAACGUAGCGAAAUGCGAUACUUGGUGUGAAUUGCAGAAUCCCGUGAACCAUCGAGUCUUCGAACGCAAGUUGCGCCUCAAGCCAUUAGGUUGAGGGCACGUCUGCCUGGGCGUCACAUAUCGUUGCCUGAUGCCAGUUUCCUCGUGAUGGGUGACUGUGCAGGGCGAAUGAUGGCUUCCCGUGAGCAUUGUUGCCUCAUGGUUGGUUGAAAAUUGAGUCCUUGGUAGGGAGCGCCGUGAUAGAUGGUGGUUGAGUGACGAACGAGACCCAAUCAUGUGAGACCCCUACCGAAUUUGGCCUUCAUGACCCACAUGCGUCUUUGGAACGCUCAUGACGAGACCUCAGGUCAGGCGGGGCUACCCGCUGAGUUUAAGCAUAUCAAUAAGCGGAGGA